AACACGUGAAUAACCUACCUCAAAGUCUGGGAUAACCAUUGGAAACAGUGACUAAUACCGGAUAAAACCCAAGUGCACAUGCACUAAGGUUAAAAGCUGCGUUUGCAGCGCUUUAAGAUGGAUUCGCGGUGCAUUAGUUAGUUGGUGAGGUAAAGGCUCACCAAGACGAUGAUGCAUAGCCGAGUUGAGAGACUGACCGGCCACAUUGGGACUGAGACACGGCCCAAACUCCUACGGGAGGCUGCAGUAGGGAAUCUUCCACAAUGGGCGCAAGCCUGAUGGAGCAACGCCGCGUGUGUGAUGAAGGCUUUCGGGUCGUAAAGCACUGUUGUAUGGGAAGAACGGGUUUAAGAGGAAAUGCUUAGACAGUGACGGUACCAUACCAGAAAGGGACGGCUAAAUACGUGCCAGCAGCCGCGGUAAUACGUAUGUCCCGAGCGUUAUCCGGAUUUAUUGGGCGUAAAGCGAGCGCAGACGGUUGCUUAAGUCUGAAGUGAAAGCCCACAGCUCAACUGUGGAAUGGCUUUGGAAACUGGGCAACUUGAGUACAGUAGAGGUAAGUG
RNAcentral lists this ribosomal RNA (563 nucleotides) under Fructobacillus fructosus. RNAcentral describes it as "bacterial SSU rRNA". It matches the Rfam family "Bacterial small subunit ribosomal RNA", at positions 112 to 663 of the family's 1533-position model. The record is from RNAcentral. Lineage: Bacteria; Bacillati; Bacillota; Bacilli; Lactobacillales; Lactobacillaceae.